CCUACGGGGGGCUGCAGUGGGGAAUAUUGGACAAUGGGCGAAAGCCUGAUCCAGCCAUGCCGCGUGUGUGAAGAAGGCCUUCGGGUUGUAAAGCACUUUCAGUGGGGAAGAAAGCCUUGGGGCUAAUACCCUCGAGGAAGGACAUCACCCACAGAAGAAGCACCGGCUAACUCCGUGCCAGCAGCCGCGGUAAUACGGAGGGUGCGAGCGUUAAUCGGAAUUACUGGGCGUAAAGCGCGCGUAGGCGGUCUGAUAAGCCGGUUGUGAAAGCCCCGGGCUCAACCUGGGAACGGCAUCCGGAACUGUCAGGCUAGGGUGCAGGAGAGGAAGGUAGAAUUCCCGGUGUAGCGGUGAAAUGCGUAGAGAUCGGGAGGAAUACCAGUGGCGAAGGCGGCCUUCUGGACUGACACUGACGCUGAGGUGCGAAAGCGUGGGUAGCAAACAGGAUUAGAUACCGUGUAGUC
This 464-nucleotide ribosomal RNA is filed under the name Vreelandella stevensii. RNAcentral's name for it is "partial 16S ribosomal RNA". It matches the Rfam family "Bacterial small subunit ribosomal RNA", at positions 338 to 795 of the family's 1533-position model. The record is from RNAcentral. Lineage: Bacteria; Pseudomonadati; Pseudomonadota; Gammaproteobacteria; Oceanospirillales; Halomonadaceae.